AUGGCAGGGGUGGUCGGCGGCCGUGAUGUGGUGGUGGUGAUGCGGCUGGCGUUCUCGCUGCUCUGGUGCGAAGUGGCGGGGCUCCGGGCGGAUCUGGCCAGGGCGUGGAGGCGUUGGUGCUGUGGUGGUGGCAGAUCGGUUGCGGCGGCGGUUGGCUUUUCCGGCGUUGGCUCGUCUGUAGGCGGUCUGUGUCGGUCUUCAACUCCUUUCCUCGUCGCCUGGGCGCUACACUUUCGUCGAAGGGUCGGCCAUCUCCCGGCUAUGGUCCAUCGCUCCUCUCGCACCGGGUGCCGCAGGACGGGUCAAUGGAGGCAUGUUUUGGCCAACCUAUUGGGUCUCAGCACUGGGGGCCGCCCGGGUGCGAAAAGGCGGGUCCUAGUGGUGGUUCCGCGGUGCUCAUGGGCAGAGCCCGCGGUUUGGUAG
This 423-nucleotide ribosomal RNA is filed under the name Triticum aestivum (bread wheat). Its description in RNAcentral is "partial small subunit ribosomal RNA". The record is from RNAcentral. Lineage: Eukaryota; Viridiplantae; Streptophyta; Magnoliopsida; Poales; Poaceae.